UACGUAGGGUCCGAGCGUUGCCCGGAAUUAUUGGGCGUAAAGGGCUCGUAGGCGGUCUGUUGCGUCGGGUGUGAAAACUUACAGCUUAACUGUGAGCGUGCUUUCGAUACGGGCAGACUUGAGGCAUUCAGGGGAGAACGGAAUUCCUGGUGUAGCGGUGAAAUGCGCAGAUAUCAGGAGGAACACCGGUGGCGAAGGCGGCCGUCUGGACAAUGGCUGACGCUAAAACACGAAAGCGUGGGGAGCAAGCAGG
RNAcentral lists this ribosomal RNA (253 nucleotides) under uncultured bacterium. RNAcentral's name for it is "partial 16S ribosomal RNA". It matches the Rfam family "Bacterial small subunit ribosomal RNA", at positions 524 to 776 of the family's 1533-position model. The record is from RNAcentral.